Molecule: ribosomal RNA, 253 nt
Filed under: uncultured bacterium
Lineage: Bacteria
Description: partial 16S ribosomal RNA
Rfam family: Bacterial small subunit ribosomal RNA
Source: RNAcentral
UACGUAGGGGGCGAGCGUUGUCCGGAAUCAUUGGGCGUAGAGCGCGUGUAGGCGGCCCGGUAAGUCCGCUGUGAAAGUCCAGGGCUCAACCCUGGGAUGCCGGUGGAUACUGUCGGGCUCGAGUCCGGAAGAGGCGAGUGGAAUUCCUGGUGUAGCGGUGAAAUGCGCAGAUAUCAGGAGGAACACCGGUGGCGAAGGCGGGUCUCUGGGCCGAUACUGACGCUGAGGAACGAAAGCUAGGGGAGCAAACAGG